Molecule: transfer RNA, 84 nt
Filed under: Pseudomonadota bacterium
Lineage: Bacteria; Pseudomonadati; Pseudomonadota
Also listed under: 1 other name
Description: tRNA-Leu
Rfam family: tRNA
About the family: Transfer RNA (tRNA) molecules are approximately 80 nucleotides in length. Their secondary structure includes four short double-helical elements and three loops (D, anti-codon, and T loops).
Source: RNAcentral
GCCGGGAUGGCGGAAUAGGUAGACGCAGCGGACUUAAAAUCCGCCAGAAGAAAUUCUGUGCCGGUUCGAUUCCGGCUCUCGGCA